RNAcentral lists this ribosomal RNA (400 nucleotides) under uncultured bacterium. RNAcentral's name for it is "bacterial SSU rRNA". It matches the Rfam family "Bacterial small subunit ribosomal RNA", at positions 355 to 772 of the family's 1533-position model. The record is from RNAcentral.
UGGGGAAUAUUGGACAAUGGGGGAAACCCUGAUCCAGCGAUGCCGCGUGAGUGAAGAAGGCCUUCGGGUUGUAAAACUCUUUCACCUGUGACGAUGAUGACGGUAGCAGGAGAAGAAGCACCGGCUAACUCCGUGCCAGCAGCCGCGGUAAGACGGAGGGUGCUAGCGUUGUUCGGAAUGACUGGGCGUAAAGGGCGCGUAGGCGGCUAUAUAAGUUGGGCGUGAAAGCCCCGGGCUUAACCUGGGAACUGCGUUCGAUACUGUAUGGCUUGAGGACAGAAGAGGAAAGUGGAAUUCCUAGUGUAGAGGUGAAAUUCGUAGAUAUUAGGAGGAACACCAGAGGCGAAGGCGGCUUUCUGGUCUGUCACUGACGCUGAGGCGCGAAAGCGUGGGGAGCAAA